CCUCCGAGCCGCCGACCCCCUGCUCCAGCCCCCGAGCCCCAGCCCCGGCGUGACCGGCCUACACGCGCCGCAGCCGGUGACAGGUUGCACCGAAACUCACACAACGGGCCCUUUCCGUCGGGCUCGAGAAAAUGGAGUGUGGCCGACCUGUUGCCUCACAUUGGCCAAAGGGGGACCAGAAAGGAGAAAUUCCGCAGCAGGAACUUGAUUCGGCUGGCCCUGACCACAAAGGAACCGGUGUGUGUGGGUGGUGACCUGCCCCUUCUCUGGCCUUGUCAGGAGAGGCAAAUGCCUGCCCAUGGGGGGCCCCUGGCUCUAGAGCUGCCUGAGGAGCAGCGAGUGAGGGCCUGAUGGAGGAGGAGAAGAAGGGCCUUCCAGGCAGAGGCCCGAGGGGUGAGGCUCGGCCCAGGAUCACACAGGAGAAUCUCCUCUGGAUGGGCUUGGGUUGGUCCUGGAGGCCCUGGCUGCACUGCUGACUGGCAUACCA
Long non-coding RNA from Diceros bicornis minor, 487 nucleotides. RefSeq lists it as uncharacterized. The record is from RefSeq and is a predicted model, not a curated record. NCBI's taxonomy places the organism in Eukaryota, Metazoa, Chordata, Mammalia, Perissodactyla, Rhinocerotidae. The transcript has 3 exons.